RNAcentral lists this long non-coding RNA (201 nucleotides) under Lathyrus oleraceus (garden pea). Its description in RNAcentral is "Pisum sativum (pea) long non-coding RNA (PSAT_LNC031796)". The record is from RNAcentral. Lineage: Eukaryota; Viridiplantae; Streptophyta; Magnoliopsida; Fabales; Fabaceae.
AAGAAAGGAAAAAACAAAAAGGACAGCUAGCCUCCACACUCUCUUAGAGACUCUCUCAUUUUCCAAUGGCUCUAGGUCACAGAAAAAUAAAAUAAAAAGGAAAAAGGGGAACACUGUUCACCUUCUUUCCCACAACUCCCUUCACUCACGUAGAACGCCAAAAACCAGACCAUCACUCUUCUUAUCCCUAAUCACAACUGU